Molecule: long non-coding RNA, 1621 nt
Organism: Fundulus heteroclitus (mummichog)
Lineage: Eukaryota; Metazoa; Chordata; Actinopteri; Cyprinodontiformes; Fundulidae
Exons: 3
Source: RefSeq, a predicted model, not a curated record
UCAGCCUCCAGUAGUUCCCUGCCUGCCCAGUCGUAACUCUCUCAGUAUGACCUCCUGCUCUCCGCCACUGCUCAUCCUUCCUCACUCAAAAUCCUGCUCCGCAUCUCCAUGGAUUAGUCGGGGAGCUACCGUCAACACGAGGGGGAAGAGAGAAAACAAAGGUCAAGCCAGAAAUGACGUGAUGGAGGCAAAGUCUGCUCCUGCGUGUGUGCGGCGAGAUCGAGUUUGCGUACCGACGUGCACGUGUGUGUGGAGAGAGCGAGGCAGACGCCGAACGAUAACACCGAGAAGAGAGGAGCAGGAGACAAGACAAACAUAUUCCUCUUUACCUUGGAUUUCCAGGCUGAGUCACUGCAGAUGGAGGGCAUUUUUCAUGCGGCACUUCUACACACACUUCUCUUCACUGCUAUAUUUUUUAUGACACUCCUCCCCACGGAUGCUGGGAGUCUUGAGGAGGCCCAUGACAGUGAUUAAUAUAACAGGCUGCUGUUACCGCCUUGACAUUUGAGUUUUUCUCCUACAUCAUGGCACGUCCGCUUCAUUCUUCAUCGGGCGGGUUACCGUGGCAGCCUCGCAUCCUCCACUGGUACUGGGGAGGGAUGGCGGCUUGCAGAAUAUUCAAACUUCCUUCUGGCUCAUAUAGUUUACCAUCGAUGUCAUCUGUCUCUGUUUUGCCGCAUCCCUCAAAUGGACUUCCUUUGCGUUUCAGGUGGCCUUUUUCCUUUGAUGCACAGAUUACAGAUUUGGAAGUAGGCCAAAUUGCAAGUUUUGGCCUACUUAUACCAAUUUUAGUCCAUUCCUUUCAUUCUUUCAGAAUUAUGACUAACAGCAUUCAAAUUACUUGUAUAGCCGUCCAGCAGUUUUAAGUGAUUUAUUAUUUAUCUUAGAGAAAUACUAAAUGAUAAAUAAUUACUUUACAGUCAACUUGUCUAUCCUUCGUCUUUAGGGUCUUAUGUUGGUAAUUAGCGCUGUUAGCAUACUUAAAAUAAUAUAAUUGUCUGUGUAUAUUCCCCUAUAGAAGUGAUACUCCAAAAUGUGGCCCCAGGAAUCAUUUGCAACCCUUCUUCAUGUUGUAGCAGACUGAAUGAACUGCUAAUGUGUUGAAUGGUUUCCAUUUAAAUAGCUUUGUACACUUUUGUGGUGGGUUUUGAAACAGAAAAUGGCUAUGUUUCUGGCUUCAUUCCACUGUAAACCCCCUUUUACACCAAAGAGUGUUCCAUACUAACCUGGUAGAGCUCAUGCACGACACAUUCACUAAUCAAUAGAAUUAUUAGAUUUAUUUUUCCCAACUGGUUGAUUAAGGAUUAAAAAACGGCCUGUGCCUGUCAAAAAACUGUUUCCUUAGUGUCCCUCUUCAUCUAAUCUAUUUAAUUCCGUCCAAUUAAAAUUUAUUUAUACAGCAUCAAUUCACACCACAUUAUCUCAAAGCACUUUACAAUGUCAUUUCAACCAAAUCAGGCUGAUCUGCUAUAUAGUGUUCAGUCUAAGGAAACCCAGCAGAGUGCAUCAAGACAUUAGCUCACAUGAUUUACUCCUCCUGGAUGAGCGUGUAGUGACAGUGGACAGUCGCUGGCAGCAUGUUCUUGUCUUUGCAGCAUUACUUCAUACCGGCCAUGCAUGU